This 1584-nucleotide unclassified non-coding RNA is filed under the name Hevea brasiliensis (rubber tree). The record is from RNAcentral. Lineage: Eukaryota; Viridiplantae; Streptophyta; Magnoliopsida; Malpighiales; Euphorbiaceae.
UGACUAUCAAAUAAUCACUCAAACAACGCGGAAGAGUCAUAAAAAUUUAAUGAAAUCUUACAGAAUUUGCUGAAAUAAGCGAAUGGCACCAAGAUGCGAAAACUAAGCAGGAAAUACGAGCAGAAUUGCUAUUUGCAAAAUACUGCAGGCGAUUGUGGGGGAAAUCUCAGGAACCCUUUACACCUCAAAUCAGCAGAUAGUGAUGAUGAUUGCAAUUUCCCUUCAAGUAUUCUUAUGUACCUUGCCUUAAUGCCUAGCCCAUCUUAUGGCUGACCUGGCCAAUGCAUCCAUGGGGUCUAUACAUUUUUUCAGAAGAGGUUCAUCGUGAGGCAGAAGACCCUGAAGUUCAUCAGAAGCAAGAAUUACUACGUUCACUGCCCUCACCAAAAGAAUCUGGAUUGCUAUUCUUAAGAGAUUUCUUGCCCCUUCCAUGUCUCUUCUACUCAGUGCUUCAACUGCAGGAAUUAGAAUGUGAUCCAUGGUUGCCCUGUCUGGCAACACAACCUCAAAUCCCUGAUUCUGCAGUUUUUCCUGAUAAAAGCCAGCAGUUAAAAUUGAAUUUGAAGCAAGCAUCCCAAUUCUCACAUUACUCCCAGCUUCGAGUGGCUUCAACUUAGCUUCCUUGAGCUCACUAGCAACACAAUCACCUACAUGAAAAAAUGGCAGCAAACAGUCCUCAGAUAUCUUAUCAUACCACGCAUGUGAAACAUGGCAUGGCAUAACUAGGCAACGAGCACCAGACUGCUCAAGAAAUUUCCUUUUACGCUGCAAAUUCUCAAUGAACACGCCAACAUUUGAUUCGAUCCGAGCAUUUCUGCUGGUAAAUGACUGUGAUGGGAGCACUCUAGCUAUUGAAGGAUCGCUGCACACAACAAAAGGAAUACAUUCCUCUCCGUCUCUUGAGCUCCACCAGACAAGCUUUUCUAGGAAAAUAAGAGUAGGUAAAACAGAUACACCUCCAAUGAUGCCAACUGUAUUUGCCUGUUUAAGCAGGGAAUUGGGGUUCUGAUAUCGUUUUGGAGCAGUACCUGAACCUGAAAUCUUCUUGGAUUGUGGCGAAUUUUUACUCUCAUCAAUUUGUACGAGAACUGAUAAAAAGUGUACAUCCACAGGUGGAUUUGAUCUUGCUCUAUAGUGAGUCCUAUUCUUUUGUAAAUUACCUGCAAGAACUGAUGAAUAAUUUAAUUUGUGGAACGUCAAUGCCAUUCCUCCAUCAAACAUCCCUAAACCCAGAUCAAUUCUUUCCCCAGGAUCCUGCUAUGCGGGGGAGACAGAACAGACCUACACCAUAAGGCUAAAUACCUGGAAAAUCCUUUGAACCUUAGAACUAAAAGUCACAAUUUAACAGAACUAAACCAUUUAUAGGCUAGUUUCAAAUAUUAAAGUUGCAGAAUCAAAACCCUCCUAUUCAACUUUAACCCUAUGAAUCAAACAAGAGAACCAACAUGGAUAUCUUAUCAGAAGCAUGAGGGGUGAUGUUAAAGGCUAGCAAGGACAAGAUUUCUCCCCACUGUGGGUGGCCUUUUCAAGUAUGCAUUUAUGAUAUUGAAUGAACAAUGAUGAGAAGGAAUAGGGAAUCAAAAU